CUCAUAGAUUGUGCCCUGUUUACAUCUGUGUGCUGUCCUGUGGCUUGCUACACCUUUUUGCAGCAUGAAUUACUUCCUACGAACUGGUCUGCCACAUCUGCAAUCUCUUUGUGACGCUUUAUUGUACCAGUUAGUUAUUAGACGACUGCUGAAUGUUGAAGAAGUUUUGGAUUAUGCUAGCAUGACCUCUGCAGUUAGUUAUUGUAAACAGUAGAAUCUUUGAUGCGAAUUUGUUCUGUAUAUUGCCAUAUUUAAAUAGCAAAAACACCAAGCUACUCUGCCGGAGUGUGCCCAGCACACACUUCACUGCUACCACUGUAUGGGGCUGCUGUAAAUUAUCAUCGAAGAUGGUUUUUUCGUCUUCGGUAUCGAAAGCAAUUCUAAAAUACAUCUUUUCAGGUUUUAAUAUCAAUUUAAUAUUAAUGAAUGGAGGG
This 434-nucleotide small RNA is filed under the name Histoplasma capsulatum. RNAcentral describes it as "hypothetical RNA". RNAcentral also lists the same sequence under 1 other name. The record is from RNAcentral. Lineage: Eukaryota; Fungi; Ascomycota; Eurotiomycetes; Onygenales; Ajellomycetaceae.